GAAUUAAGUCUUUUUUAGCUAAAAAAUGAACAAAACCUGAGAUGCAUGAGUGUCCUUACCAAAAGGAAGUCCUUGUUUCUAGGACAGGUCUGUCUUCGGGCCUGUGGGUCCAUAGAAUCAUCACAGAAAAAAUGAUUUCAGGAGGUCUCCCCCGCUUUCUGCUCCCAAGGCCGACUCUGACUGAGCCUCGGAGGAGAGAAGGAAGCCAUUUCUGGGAGGCCAAAACGUCCGUCUUCCAGGCUCUUGCUGUAAGUCAGCCCACUUUUACAGAUGAGGAACCAAGACCCAGGGAAGAUGGCAGAGUUGGGCCUAAAUGAGCACCAUCAAAAUGAAGUUAUUAAUUAUAUGCGUUUUGCUCGUUCAAAGAGAGGCUUGAGACUCAAAACUGUAGAUUCCUGCUUCCAAGACCUCAAGGAGAGCAGGCUGGUGGAGGACACCUUCACCAUAGAUGAAGUCUCUGAAGUCCUCAAUGGAUUACAAGCUGUGGUUCAUAGUGAGGUGGAAUCUGAGCUCAUCAACACUGCCUAUACCAAUGUG
This 537-nucleotide long non-coding RNA is filed under the name Homo sapiens (human). RNAcentral describes it as "non-protein coding lnc-FYCO1-5:2". Lineage: Eukaryota; Metazoa; Chordata; Mammalia; Primates; Hominidae. The record is from RNAcentral.